RNAcentral lists this ribosomal RNA (500 nucleotides) under uncultured bacterium. RNAcentral's name for it is "partial 16S ribosomal RNA". It matches the Rfam family "Bacterial small subunit ribosomal RNA", at positions 28 to 507 of the family's 1533-position model. The record is from RNAcentral.
GACGAACGCUGGCGGCGUGCUUAACACAUGCAAGUCGAACGGGUCUGCCCUGUUUUUUGCGGGGUGGGUCAGUGGCGAACGGGUGAGUAACACGUGAAUAACCUGCCCCUCACUUCUGGAUAACCGCUUGAAAGGGUGGCUAAUACGGGGUGUUCUGGCUGUGCCGCAUGGUGUGGCUGGGAAAGAUUCACUUUUGUGGUGUUUUGGUGGGGGAUGGGCUCGCGGCCUAUCAGCUUGUUGGUGGGGUGAUGGCCUGCCAAGGCUUUGACGGGUAGCCGGCCUGAGAGGGUGGGCGGUCACACUGGGACUGAGAUACGGCCCAGACUCCUGCGGGAGGCAGCAGUGGGGGGUAUUGCACAAUGGGCGGAAGCCUGAUGCAGCGACGUCGCGUGAGGGAUGGAGGCCUUCGGGUUGUGAACCUCUUUCGCCGGUGAAGAAGGUCCUGCUCUUUGUGGUGGGGUUGACGGUAGCCGGGUUAUGAAGCGCCGGCUAACUACGUG